GCGGCGUGCUUAAUACAUGCAAGUCGUGCGAGAAAGUACCCUUCGGGGUGCGAGUACAGCGGCAAACGGUGUGAGUAACACGUAAGGAAUCUGGCUCCAAAUCCGGAAUAGCUCUGCCAACGCGGAAUUAAUGCCGGAUGUGGUUGUUUGGUCGCAUGACCUGACAACUAAAGGUGACCUCUUCGUUUGAAAGUUACCGUUUGGAGAUGACCUUGCGGCCCAUUAGCUUGUUGGCAGGGUAACGGCCCACCAUGGCUGCGAUGGGUAGCCGGUCUGAGAGGGUGAACGGCCACAUUGGGACUGAUAUACGGACCAGACUCCUACGGGAGGCAGCAGUAGGGAAUUUUGCGCAAUGGACGAAAGUCUGACGCAGAAACACCGAGUGAGCGAUGAAGGUUUUCGGAUCGUAAAGCUCUGUUGAGUGGGAAGAAACGUCUCGGGGUUAAUAUCUCCGAGGCCUGACGGUACCACUCGAGGAAGCUCCGGACAACUACGUGCCAGACAGCCGCGGUAAUACGUAGGGAGCGAGCGUU
This 533-nucleotide ribosomal RNA is filed under the name uncultured organism. Its description in RNAcentral is "bacterial SSU rRNA". It matches the Rfam family "Bacterial small subunit ribosomal RNA", at positions 39 to 542 of the family's 1533-position model. The record is from RNAcentral.